Molecule: ribosomal RNA, 730 nt
Filed under: uncultured archaeon
Lineage: Archaea
Description: bacterial SSU rRNA
Rfam family: Archaeal small subunit ribosomal RNA
Source: RNAcentral
UCGGGGUGCANCAGGCGCGAAACCUCUGCAAUAGGCGAAAGCCUGACAGGGUUACUCUGAGUGAUUCCCGCUAAGGGGAUCUUUUGGCACCUCUAAAAAUGGUGCAGAAUAAGGGGUGGGCAAGUCUGGUGUCAGCCGCCGCGGUAAUACCAGCACCCCGAGUGGUCGGGACGAUUAUUGGGCCUAAAGCAUCCGUAGCCGGUCAUGCAAGUCCUCCGUUAAAUCCACCUGCUUAACAGAUGGGCUGCGGAGGAUACUACAAGGCUAGGAGGCGGAAGAGGCAAGCGGUACUCAGUGGGUAGGGGUAAAAUCCUCUGAUCCAUUGAAGACCACCAGUGGCGAAGGCGGCUUGCCAAUACGCGCUCGACGGUGAGGGAUGAAAGCUGGGGGAGCAAACCGGAUUAGAUACCCGGGUAGUCCCAGCUGUAAACGAUGCAGACUCGGUGAUGGGCCGGCUUUAUGCCGGCUCAGUGCCGCAGGGAAGCCGUUAAGUCUGCCGCCUGGGGAGUACGGUCGCAAGACUGAAACUUAAAGGAAUUGGCGGGGGAGCACCACAAGGGGUGAAGCCUGCGGUUCAAUUGGAGUCAACGCCGGAAAUCUUACCGGGGGCGACAGCAGAGUGAAGGUCAAGCUGAAGACUUUACCAGACAAGCUGAGAGGAGGUGCAUGGCCGUCGCCAGCUCGUGCCGUGAGGUGUCCUGUUAAGUCNNNAACGAGCGAGACCCCCACC